RNAcentral lists this ribosomal RNA (483 nucleotides) under uncultured bacterium. RNAcentral's name for it is "partial 16S ribosomal RNA". It matches the Rfam family "Bacterial small subunit ribosomal RNA", at positions 30 to 508 of the family's 1533-position model. The record is from RNAcentral.
AUUGAACGCUGGCGGCAUGCCUUACACAUGCAAGUCGAACGGUAACAGGUCUUCGGAUGCUGACGAGUGGCGAACGGGUGAGUAAUACAUCGGAACGUGCCCGAUCGUGGGGGAUAACGCAGCGAAAGCUGUGCUAAUACCGCAUACGAUCUACGGAUGAAAGCGGGGGAUCGCAAGACCUCGCGCGGACGGAGCGGCCGAUGGCAGAUUAGGUAGUUGGUGGGAUAAAAGCUUACCAAGCCGACGAUCUGUAGCUGGUCUGAGAGGACGACCAGCCACACUGGGACUGAGACACGGCCCAGACUCCUACGGGAGGCAGCAGUGGGGAAUUUUGGACAAUGGGCGCAAGCCUGAUCCAGCCAUGCCGCGUGCAGGAUGAAGGCCUUCGGGUUGUAAACUGCUUUUGUACGGAACGAAAAAGCUCUCUCUAAUACAGGGGGUGAAUGACGGUACCGUAAGAAUAAGCACCGGCUAACUACGUGC